This 484-nucleotide ribosomal RNA is filed under the name uncultured bacterium. Its description in RNAcentral is "partial 16S ribosomal RNA". It matches the Rfam family "Bacterial small subunit ribosomal RNA", at positions 30 to 507 of the family's 1533-position model. The record is from RNAcentral.
AUUGAACGCUGGCGGCAGGCCUAACACAUGCAAGUCGAGCGGGUGAAGGGAGCUUGCUCCUCGAUUCAGCGGCGGACGGGUGAGUAAUGCCUAGGAAUCUGCCUGGUAGUGGGGGAUAACGUCCGGAAACGGGCGCUAAUACCGCAUACGUCCUGAGGGAGAAAGUGGGGGAUCUUCGGACCUCACGCUAUCAGAUGAGCCUAGGUCGGAUUAGCUAGUUGGUGGGGUAAAGGCCUACCAAGGCGACGAUCCGUAACUGGUCUGAGAGGAUGAUCAGUCACACUGGAACUGAGACACGGUCCAGACUCCUACGGGAGGCAGCAGUGGGGAAUAUUGGACAAUGGGCGAAAGCCUGAUCCAGCCAUGCCGCGUGUGUGAAGAAGGUCUUCGGAUUGUAAAGCACUUUAAGUUGGGAGGAAGGGCAGUAAGUUAAUACCUUGCUGUUUUGACGUUACCAACAGAAUAAGCACCGGCUAACUUCGUG